This 494-nucleotide ribosomal RNA is filed under the name uncultured bacterium. RNAcentral's name for it is "partial 16S ribosomal RNA". It matches the Rfam family "Bacterial small subunit ribosomal RNA", at positions 29 to 523 of the family's 1533-position model. The record is from RNAcentral.
AUUGAACGCUGGCGGUAUGCCUUACACAUGCAAGUCGAACGGUAGAGGGGCAACCCUUGAGAGUGGCGAACGGGUGAGUAAUACAUCGGAACGUGCCCAGUCGUGGGGGAUAACGUAGCGAAAGCUACGCUAAUACCGCAUACGACCUGAGGGUGAAAGCGGGGGAUCGCAAGACCUCGCGCGAUUGGAGCGGCCGAUGGCAGAUUAGGUAGGUGGUGGGGUAAAGGCCUACCAAGCCUGCGAUCUGUAGCUGGUCUGAGAGGACGACCAGCCACACUGGGACUGAGACACGGACCAGACUCCUACGAGAGGCAGCAGUGGGGAAUUUUGGACAAUGGGCGAAAGCCUGAUCCAGCCAUUCCGCGUGCGGGAAGAAGGCCUUCGGGUUGUAAACCGCUUUUGUCAGGGAAGAAAUCUUCUGGGUUAAUACCUCGGGAGGAUGACGGUACCUGAAGAAUAAGCACCGGCCAACUACGUGCCAGCCGCCGCGGUAA